This 506-nucleotide ribosomal RNA is filed under the name uncultured Enterobacter sp. RNAcentral's name for it is "bacterial SSU rRNA". It matches the Rfam family "Bacterial small subunit ribosomal RNA", at positions 30 to 525 of the family's 1533-position model. Lineage: Bacteria; Pseudomonadati; Pseudomonadota; Gammaproteobacteria; Enterobacterales; Enterobacteriaceae. The record is from RNAcentral.
AUUGAACGCUGGCGGCAGGCCUAACACAUGCAAGUCGAGCGGUAGCACAGAGAGCUUGCUCUCGGGUGACGAGCGGCGGACGGGUGAGUAAUGUCUGGGAAACUGCCUGAUGGAGGGGGAUAACUACUGGAAACGGUAGCUAAUACCGCUUAACGUCGCAAGACCAAAGAGGGGGACCUUCGGGCCUCUUGCCAUCAGAUGUGCCCAGAUGGGAUUAGCUAGUAGGUGGGGUAACGGCUCACCUAGGCGACGAUCCCUAGCUGGUCUGAGAGGAUGACCAGCCACACUGGAACUGAGACACGGUCCGGGACUCCUACGGGAGGCAGCAGUGGGGAAUAUUGCACAAUGGGGCAAGCCUGAUGCAGCCAUGCCGCGUGUAUGAAGAAGGCCUUCGGGUUGUAAAGUACUUUCAGCGGGGAGGAAGGUGCUGAGGUUAAUAACCUCAGCAAUUGACGUUACCCGCAGAAGAAGCACCGGCUAACUCCGUGCCAGCAGCCGCGUAAACC